CCUACGGGGGGCAGCAGUGGGGAAUAUUGCGCAAUGGGCGAAAGCCUGACGCAGCGACGCCGCGUGAGGGAUGAAGGUCUUCGGAUCGUAAACCUCUGUCAGCAGGGAAGAACGGUCACUGUGCUAAUCAGCAGUGAAUUGACGGUACCUGCACAGGAAGCACCGGCUAACUCCGUGCCAGCAGCCGCGGUAAACCGGAGGGUGCGCGCGUUCAUCGGAAUUACUGGGCGUAAAGCGCUCGUAGGCGGUAUGUCAAAUCAAGGGUGAAAUCCCCGCGCUUAACGUGGGAACUGCCUUUGAAACUGGCAAACUAGAGUGUGUGAGAGGAUAGUGGAAUUCCAGGUGUAGGAGUGAAAUCCGUAGAUAUCUGGAGGAACAUCAGUGGCGAAGGCGACUAUCUGGCACAUAACUGACGCUGAGGAGCGAAAGCGUGGGUAGCAAACAGGAUUAGAUACCCUUGUAGUC
Molecule: ribosomal RNA, 465 nt
Filed under: uncultured bacterium
Lineage: Bacteria
Description: partial 16S ribosomal RNA
Rfam family: Bacterial small subunit ribosomal RNA
Source: RNAcentral